GAGUUAGUGCUCAUCUUGAUUGAUAAUGCUAUGCUGAUGUUUGAAUCAUGAGGAUUUUCCACCAUGCUGUUUAUAUGCUGUUGUAAUUGCUGACCAAGUUUUGGUGUGGAUGUUGGUAACUACACAUGUAUGCCCUACUGUUGUUUUGCAUGAACAUAACCAUGUCCAGAAAUUCACCUUGUUUCAUAUUCUGUUUGUUGGUUGACAUUGCCUAAUGAUGAUGUUACCUUAUCAUGAUGGAUCAUUGAUGCUGUUUUAUUGUUUGAUCAUGUCCUGCUAUAUG
Molecule: long non-coding RNA, 283 nt
Filed under: Lathyrus oleraceus (garden pea)
Lineage: Eukaryota; Viridiplantae; Streptophyta; Magnoliopsida; Fabales; Fabaceae
Description: Pisum sativum (pea) long non-coding RNA (PSAT_LNC031340)
Source: RNAcentral